CUAGCCAAAGUCGGUCGAGUGGGAGACGAACACGAAACUCGUCGCUGAAUGUUAUUAUUUAUUAUUAACAAAAGUUACAGUUAUAAAGCAGAGGCCGUGUUCAAUCGAUCAAACGCAACGCGAGGCUGAUAAUUAAGAGCUGAUGCUAAUAUAUAAUAAUGGAGAAGUAAUAAUUUUAAUAUUACAGGAAAAUCUUGAUUGAUUGUUGAUUAAUAAACAAUAAAAUGGUUGCUUUUGGAAUCAAAUGACCACCAUUCUCAGUUAGUCCUCUGUGGAGAGUGGAAACUGCAGAGUCCAGAUGUUUCUCGUUUAGUGAUAUAGAAGAAGAUUUAGAAUUCGCGGCGCAUUUUAGCGCGGGAAUUCUAUUCUUUUCCACGUUCAGUUUCGGAAAUCUCGGUCGAAAUUCCUCUUUUUGCGCUUGUUCUGGUGAAGGCUUUUGAAGGUUAGUUGGCGCACGUUACCAAGGAAGGACGGACUUACUUCCAUCUCUCUCUGACUUGCAGAUCCUUCUUUUUGAUUUUAGCAUUACGAAACACUUAAGGUUGAACUGAAAAGGUAUGAGUUCGCGAUUCUGUUGGCAGGUUUCUUCAAAGGAUUUCAAUGAACUCGGCUCUUUGUGUACUUCAAUUUUCUGUUUUUUUUUUAUCUGAGUUCUGAAGUUGGUUAAUCGGAAUUUGCAUUUUUUGCAGUUACAUUUUUUUUUUCUUUUCUCUCAUUAUGAACGUGAGAGGAAUGGAUUUAUGUGGAGCUCUGUUUAUGGAUUUAGAAUCCCUGUUUCUGAUCCUAUUAUUAAGCUUUUCCGAAAGUGUUUUUUUUUUUUUUUCAAUUCUAUUCGCCUUAUUGUUGCUAUCUAAAUCAUUGAUCAGAAGCAAUUCUUUCAGUUUUGGCUCUUCUGUAGCGGAAAUUCGUAAUUUUGGGUAGAGAUUUCAGCCUUCCACUUCUUAUACAUUUAAACAUUUCUUAGUAAAUUAAAAUGUGUACGAAACCUGUAGAUGGUGCCGUGUUUUGUGUUCUAAAUAUGGGAGGUUUUGUUUUGUGUUCUAAACCUGUAGAUGGUUCUUCUCUGUUUGAAAAUUGCGGUAGCGUUGUUCUCUUUACAUCUGAUCUCUGAGUCUUGUUAUUUGUGUUUUAUAUUGGCAUUUGGUGAGCUAGUGUAUUAGCAUUUUAGUUUCAAAUAUAUACAAGAUUUUUUGAAUUGGUAGUUGGUUAAAUUACGAGCAUAUAGCUUGGGAACGACGUUAGUAUCGAAAUCUAAAGCCAUAAAACUGGAAUUAGGAAGAUUUAUCAAAAAAAAAAAAAGAAAAAAAACUGGAACUAGGGAUCCACGUGAAUGAGUCAUGGUUAAUUUGGUUAUGCAGUUUUAGAACGAAAGGCUGAAUCUUCGUGGGCAUGUGGGGUCGUCAAAAUAAUUCACGUGAAGUUCCCUCGCCAUACAAGAGGAUGCCGUCCAGAGAUUAUACGAAUUUGCCUUGCAGAGAAGAAAAUCCAGCUCGUUUCCAGAUUAGUGUGGGGCCAGAAACUACAACAAACCCUUCCUGGAGGCUCUCUUUGCCUCAUGUACUUGUGGCAACCAUAUCUUCAUUCUUAUUUGGCUACCAUCUUAGUGUGGUUAAUGAGCCACUUGAAAGCAUUUCCCUAGAUCUUGGUUUUGGUGGCAAUACCCUGGCUGAAGGUCUAGUUGUGAGUACGUGUUUGGGCGGUGCUUUUCUUGGAUGUCUACUCAGUGGUUGGAUUGCUGAUGGGGUUGGGCGGCGCAGGGCCUUCCAGUUGAGUGCUUUACCAAUGAUUAUUGGGGCUUCUCUGAGUGCAACAACAAAAAAUCUGGAGGGAAUGCUUUUUGGGAGGUUUUUGGUUGGAACUGGGAUGGGUCUGGGUCCAGCUGUUGCAGCUCUUUAUGUGACAGAGGUUUCACCUUCUUUUGUAAGGGGUACUUAUGGAAGUUUCAUUCAGAUUGCAACAUGUCUUGGACUGAUGGGGGCAUUAUUCAUGGGAAUCCCUGCAAGGGAAAUUAAGGGCUGGUGGCGUGUUUGUUUCUGGGUAUCUGAUGUUCCUGCUGUGAUGCUUGCUUCCUUUAUGGUCUUCUGUGCAGAGAGUCCCCAUUGGCUUUAUAAGCAAGGAAGAUAUGUUGAAGCUGAGGCUGAGUUUGAGAAGCUCUUGGGAGCAUCACAUGUCAAGUCUGCACUGGCUGAACUAGGAAAGUUAAACAGAGGGGAUGAAGCAGAAACUGUAAAGUUUUCAGAGUUACUCUAUGGUCGCCAUUUUAGAGUUGUUUUUAUUGGGUCAACCCUUUUUGCUUUACAACAGCUGUCUGGUAUUAAUGCUAUAUUCUAUUUCUCAUCAACUGUCUUUAAAAGUGCGGGGGUACCUUCAAACCUGGCUAACAUUUGUGUGGGACUAGCAAAUUUUUCAGGGUCUAUUAUUGCAAUGAUUUUGAUGGAUAAGCUGGGGAGGAAAGUGCUUCUAGUGGGGAGCUUCUUAGGAAUGGCAGUAGCGAUGGGAAUCCAGGUCAUUGCUGCAGGCUUUCACAUAUUGGGCUCUGGAGCUUUGUAUCUAUCUGUUGGUGGAAUGUUACUGUUUGUCUUCACAUUUGCAAUGGGAGCUGGUCCAGUCCCAGGUCUCCUUCUACCAGAAAUCUUCCCCAGCCGCAUUAGAGCAAAGGCUAUGGCUGUAUGUAUGUCUGUACAUUGGGUGGUAAAUUUUUUUGUAGGAUUGUUAUUCCUGCGUUUACUGGAACAAUUUGGACCACAGGUCUUGUACACCAUGUUUUCUACUUUCUGCUUGAUAGCAGUGGUUUUUGUGAAGAGAAAUGUGGUGGAAACCAAAGGAAAAUCACUCCAAGAACUUGAGAUAGCACUUCUUCCACCAGAGUAGAGGGAAAUUAUGGCCAUUUAAUAUGAUUCUUUCAGAGAGGUUUUUGUCUGGUUUCUUUGCAGUGUUGUUCCUUUUUUUAUCGAUUUUGUCCCUCUCGUGGAGUUACAUUUGGAGACUUCGGCAGGGCCAUUCAUCUGGUCUUCACCUGACUAGGCUGGUGUAAAUUCAGAGAGAGCUUCUGUUUGAAUAUGCUCUUUUUGACAGAUUUUGGGAAGGAGAAUGGUUUGACAAUAUGUGAGCGUAGCUGACACUGAUUUUCUUUGAGCUUGAGAUUGAUAGCCCACAUCAUUGAAUCUGCGUUCUGACAUAUUUUGGGAGGAGAUGGUUUGACGUUGUGUAUGUUAGUGUAGCUGACAUUCAUUUUAUCACGGGUUGCCUACUUACCUCUAAUUGACAGAGUAGAAGCAUUCUGAACUCUGAUCCAUGCUUUCAGUAUUUUCUAUUUUCCGUUAAGAACAAGUUCCGCAGAUACUUAACUGUUACUGCUUGGAGCACUUUGCAAUGUUUUGGUGUAGCCUUAAGGUUGAAGAAGAAGAAAUGCCUGGAAAUUGAAGCAGGAUUUGGUCUGAGACGUUUCUCUUAUUUCUCUGUUCCUGGGAAACAGUCGAACAGAAACAAAUUCUGCUCCAGAAAGAUAGCUCUGACGUCUAGCUGAUCGGUGAUGCUUCUCCAUACGAAAAAUAACAUCGUGAUAUAUAUAUUUUUUCAACUUUACUAGACAUGCCUUUACGCAGAUGGAAGAUCUAUAUCGGAUAGGAAGUGUAACUAUGCAGACAACGUUUUCAGCUUUCAUAUACACCGUUUCUGCACUCGACGGAAUCAGUAUUCAAAACAAGUAUAUACCUGGA
Nelumbo nucifera (sacred lotus) is the source of this 3719-nucleotide non-coding RNA. Lineage: Eukaryota; Viridiplantae; Streptophyta; Magnoliopsida; Proteales; Nelumbonaceae. The record is from RefSeq and is a predicted model, not a curated record.